Transfer RNA from Toxocara canis (dog roundworm), 72 nucleotides. It matches the Rfam family "tRNA". From Rfam's summary of the family: Transfer RNA (tRNA) molecules are approximately 80 nucleotides in length. Their secondary structure includes four short double-helical elements and three loops (D, anti-codon, and T loops). Lineage: Eukaryota; Metazoa; Nematoda; Chromadorea; Rhabditida; Toxocaridae. The record is from Rfam.
CGAGCAGUAGCUCAGUGGUAGAGCUCUCGCCUCAUACGUGGGAAGACCUGGGUUCGAUUGCCCGCUGCUUAC